ACGGGAGGCAGCAGUGGGGAAUAUUGGGCAAUGGGCGCAAGCCUGACCCAGCAAUGCCGCGUGAAGGAAGAAGGCUUUCGGGUUGUAAACUUCUUUUAAGUGGGACGAUAAUGACGGUGCCACUUGAAUAAGCUCCGGCUAACUACGUGCCAGCAGCCGCGGUAAUACGUAGGGGGCAAGCGUUAUCCGGAUUUACUGGGUGUAAAGGGAGCGUAGACGGCAAUGCAAGUCUGAAGUGAAAGCCCGCGGCUUAACUACGGGACUGCUUUGGAAACUGCAUGGCUAGAGUGUCGGAGAGGUGAGUGGAAUUCCCAGUGUAGCGGUGAAAUGCGUAGAUAUUGGGAGGAACACCGGAGGCGAAGGCGGCUCACUGGACGAUUACUGACGUUGAGGCUCGAAAGCGUGGGGAGCAAACAGGAUUAGAUACCCUGGUA
Molecule: ribosomal RNA, 434 nt
Filed under: uncultured Lachnospiraceae bacterium
Lineage: Bacteria; Bacillati; Bacillota; Clostridia; Lachnospirales; Lachnospiraceae
Description: partial 16S ribosomal RNA
Rfam family: Bacterial small subunit ribosomal RNA
Source: RNAcentral